AUGUUUAUACACAACUAAUGUACAUAUACAUUUUUACAGCCAUUUUGUGAAAUAAAUCCUGUAAUUGAGACUUAUUUACAAUGGCUGUCACUGGAUUUUAAUGUUUGAUUUUGAUAAUUAAA
RNAcentral lists this small RNA (122 nucleotides) under Arabidopsis thaliana (thale cress). Its description in RNAcentral is "ATSL181090". The record is from RNAcentral. Lineage: Eukaryota; Viridiplantae; Streptophyta; Magnoliopsida; Brassicales; Brassicaceae.